This 68-nucleotide microRNA precursor is filed under the name Bombyx mori (domestic silkworm). Its description in RNAcentral is "mir-2774 microRNA precursor family". It matches the Rfam family "mir-2774 microRNA precursor family". The record is from Rfam by way of RNAcentral. Lineage: Eukaryota; Metazoa; Arthropoda; Insecta; Lepidoptera; Bombycidae.
ACAACAAAAGGACCGUCGGUCUACCGAGCAAAUAUCACUCGCACGGUGGAAGAGCUUCCCUUCGUCGU